CUGGCGGCAUGCCUAAUACAUGCAAGUCGAACGCUGAAACACUCUGCUUGCAGAGUGUGGAUGAGUGGCGAACGGGUGAGUAACACGUGGGGAAUCUGCCUAUAAGUGGGGGAUAACAUUCGGAAACGGAUGCUAAUACCGCAUAUAUUCAAAAACCGCAUGGUUUCUGAAAGAAAGACGGCUUCGCUGUCGCUUAUAGAUGAUCCCGCGGCGUAUUAGUUAGUUGGUGGGGUAAUGGCCUACCAAGACCAUGAUACGUAGCCGACCUGAGAGGGUGAUCGGCCACACUGGGACUGAGACACGGCCCAGACUCCUACGGGAGGCAGCAGUAGGGAAUCUUCCACAAUGGGUGCAAACCUGAUGGAGCAAUGCCGCGUGAAUGAAGAAGGUCUUCGGAUCGUAAAGUUCUGUUAUUAGAGAAGAACAAGUCAAGGAGUAACUGUCUUGACUUUGACGGUACCUAACCAGAAAGUCACGGCUAACUACGUGCCAGCCGCUGC
This 500-nucleotide ribosomal RNA is filed under the name uncultured bacterium. RNAcentral's name for it is "bacterial SSU rRNA". It matches the Rfam family "Bacterial small subunit ribosomal RNA", at positions 36 to 518 of the family's 1533-position model. The record is from RNAcentral.